CGCGCAUUCGCCCUUAGAGUUUGAUCCUGGCUCAGGAUGAACGCUAGCUACAGGCUUAACACAUGCAAGUCGAGGGGCAGCGGGAUUGAAGCUUGCUUCAAUUGCCGGCGACCGGCGCACGGGUGAGUAACGCGUAUCCAACCUUCCGUUUACUCAGGGAUAGCCUUUCGAAAGAAAGAUUAAUACCUGAUAGUAUGGUGGGAUUGCAUGAUAGCACCAUUAAAGAUUUAUUGGUAAACGAUGGGGAUGCGUUCCAUUAGGUAGUAGGCGGGGUAACGGCCCACCUAGCCGACGAUGGAUAGGGGUUCUGAGAGGAAGGUCCCCCACAUUGGAACUGAGACACGGUCCAAACUCCUACGGGAGGCAGCAGUGAGGAAUAUUGGUCAAUGGACGAGAGUCUGAACCAGCCAAGUAGCGUGAAGGAUGAAGGUCCUACGGAUUGUAAACUUCUUUUAUAAGGGAAUAAACCCUCCCACGUGUGGGAGCUUGUAUGUACCUUAUGAAUAAGCAUCGGCUAACUCCGUGCCAGCAGCCGCGGUAAUACGGAGGAUGCGAGCGUUAUCCGGAUUUAUUGGGUUUAAAGGGAGCGCAGACGGGUCGUUAAGUCAGCUGUGAAAGUUUGGGGCUCAACCUUAAAAUUGCAGUUGAUACUGGCGUCCUUGAGUGCGGUUGAGGUGUGCGGAAUUCGUGGUGUAGCGGUGAAAUGCUUAGAUAUCACGAAGAACUCCGAUUGCGAAGGCAGCACACUAAUCCGUAACUGACGUUCAUGCUCGAAAGUGUGGGUAUCAAACAGGAUUAGAUACCCUGGUAGUCCACACGGUAAACGAUGGAUACUCGCUGUUGGCGAUAUACUGUCAGCGGCUUAGCGAAAGCGUUAAGUAUCCCACCUGGGGAGUACGCCGGCAACGGUGAAACUCAAAGGAAUUGACGG
This 931-nucleotide ribosomal RNA is filed under the name uncultured bacterium. RNAcentral's name for it is "bacterial SSU rRNA". It matches the Rfam family "Bacterial small subunit ribosomal RNA", at positions 1 to 916 of the family's 1533-position model. The record is from RNAcentral.